AUGAACGCUGGCGGCGUGCCUAAUACAUGCAAGUCGAGCGAACGGACGAGAAGCUUGCUUUUCUGAUGUUAGCGGCGGACGGGUGAGUAACACGUGGAUAACCUACCUAUAAGACUGGGAUAACUUCGGGAAACCGGAGCUAAUACCGGAUAAUAUUUUGAACCGCAUGGUUCAAAAGUGAAAGACGGUCUUGCUGUCACUUAUAGAUGGAUCCGCGCUGCAUUAGCUAGUUGGUAAGGUAACGGCUUACCAAGGCAACGAUGCAUAGUCGACCUGAGAGGGUGAUCGGCCACACUGGAACUGAGACACGGUCCAGACUCCUACGGGAGGCAGCAGUAGGGAAUCUUCCGCAAUGGGCGAAAGCCUGACGGAGCAACGCCGCGUGAGUGAUGAAGGUCUUCGGAUCGUAAAACUCUGUUAUUAGGGAAGAACAUAUGUGUAAGUAACUGUGCACAUCUUGACGGUACCUAAUCAGAAAGCCACGGCUAACUACGUG
RNAcentral lists this ribosomal RNA (496 nucleotides) under uncultured bacterium. RNAcentral's name for it is "partial 16S ribosomal RNA". It matches the Rfam family "Bacterial small subunit ribosomal RNA", at positions 29 to 507 of the family's 1533-position model. The record is from RNAcentral.